CAAAACCUGGCUCUGAUACCA
Molecule: small RNA, 21 nt
Filed under: Arabidopsis thaliana (thale cress)
Lineage: Eukaryota; Viridiplantae; Streptophyta; Magnoliopsida; Brassicales; Brassicaceae
Description: ATSL213370
Source: RNAcentral